AGUGAAUAGAUACCCAGGUAGUCCUGGCCUUAAACGAUGGAUGCUUGGUGUCUGGAGUUUUAUAGUCUCCGGGUGCCGUAGCUAACGCGUUAAGCAUCCCGCCUGGGGAGUACGGUCGCAAGACUGAAACUCAAAGGAAUUGACGGGGACCCGCACAAGCGGUGGAGCAUGUGGUUCAAUUCGACGCAACGCGAAGAACCUUACCUGGGCUAGAAUGCCUCUGACAACUCCAGAGAUGGAGCUUUCUAGGGAAACCUAGACGGAGUGCAAGGUGCUGCAUGGCUGUCGUCAGCUCGUGUCGUGAGAUGCUGGGUUAAUCCCGGNAACGAGCGNAACCCGUUAUCGAUAGUUGCUAGCGGUUACGGCCGAGCACUC
RNAcentral lists this ribosomal RNA (375 nucleotides) under uncultured bacterium. RNAcentral describes it as "bacterial SSU rRNA". It matches the Rfam family "Bacterial small subunit ribosomal RNA", at positions 773 to 1140 of the family's 1533-position model. The record is from RNAcentral.